GAUGAACGCUGGCGGCGUGCUUAACACAUGCAAGUCGAACGGAAAGGCCCCUGCUUGCAGGGGUACUCGAGUGGCGAACGGGUGAGUAACACGUGGGUGAUCUGCCCUGCACUUCGGGAUAAGCCUGGGAAACUGGGUCUAAUACCGGAUAGGACCACAUUCUGGUUGGUGUGGUGGAAAGUUUUUCGGUGUGGGAUGGGCUAGCGGCCUAUCAGCUUGUUGGUGGGGUAAUGGCCUACCAAGACGUCGACGGGUAGCCGGCCUGAGAGGGGGUACGGCCACGUUAGGACGGAGAUGCGACACAGACUAGUACGGGACGCAGCGGUGCGGUAUAUAACACUAUGGGCGGAAGCCUGACGCAGCGACGCCGCGUGGGGGAUGACAGCCAUCGGGUUGUAUUCUCAUUUCGCUAGAGACGAAGCGAAAGUGACGGUACCUGGAGAAGAAGCACCGGCUAACUACGUG
RNAcentral lists this ribosomal RNA (465 nucleotides) under uncultured bacterium. RNAcentral's name for it is "partial 16S ribosomal RNA". It matches the Rfam family "Bacterial small subunit ribosomal RNA", at positions 28 to 507 of the family's 1533-position model. The record is from RNAcentral.